This 492-nucleotide ribosomal RNA is filed under the name uncultured bacterium. RNAcentral's name for it is "partial 16S ribosomal RNA". It matches the Rfam family "Bacterial small subunit ribosomal RNA", at positions 29 to 507 of the family's 1533-position model. The record is from RNAcentral.
AGUGAACGCUGGCGGUAGGCCUAACACAUGCAAGUCGAACGGCAGCACAGUAAGAGCUUGCUCUUACGGGUGGCGAGUGGCGGACGGGUGAGGAAUACAUCGGAAUCUACUUUUUCGUGGGGGAUCACGUAGGGAAACUUACGCUAAUACCGCAUACGACCUACGGGUGAAAGCAGGGGAUCUUCGGACCUUGCGCGGUUGAAUGAGCCGAUGUCGGAUUAGCUAGUUGGCGGGGUAAAGGCCCACCAAGGCGACGAUCCGUAGCUGGUCUGAGAGGAUGAUCGGCCACACUGGAACUGAGACACGGUCCAGACUCCUACGGGAGGCAGCAGUGGGGAAUAUUGGACAAUGGGCGCAAGCCUGAUCCAGCCAUACCGCGUGGGUGAAGAAGGCCUUCGGGUUGUAAAGCCCUUUUGUUGGGAAAGAAAAGCAGCAGGUUAAUACCCCGCUGUUCUGACGGUACCCAAAGAAUAAGCACCGGCUAACUUCGUG